GUGGGUGGUGGAGGCAAAGGCUAGCCAGAGAGGGCCAGCAGCGCCCUGCUUGCCAAGGGCCCACAGAUAAGAGUAGAUGUGUUCCAGGCAGUAAGGUACACGAAGCGGUUCCCUAAUUUGUGCUUAUCAGCACAAUAGCUGUAGGAGUUUUCCAUGCCUUCAUGGGAUUAACAGAAGGGCUGAAGUUUAAGCUAAACAGCACGAAUCCCAAACUCUUUGGAAGUUAUUGGCGGGGAAAUGAGUCCUCAGGGUUGGCUCUGUCAAGCAGUUGCCCUAGGUAACUUUGUUCAGACUUCUCAUGGCUCCUGUAUCAGUACUGCGACCUCCAGACUAGCGUGGAAACACUUGUGGUUAGGCUUACAUUGCAACAAGAAGCAGCCUUAAACCUUUUGCAUUUGAAUAGGAAUGGAACAAAAUAAAAAGCUACAAUUCAGUUCAGCUGUGUAAGUAGCUUGCUGUACAUUAAGCUUCUAGGAACUUGUCUUCAGAGGAAUCUAUAAUGGUUGACAUCUGAUCACAGACCGUAUGGUAACUGUUGAGUCUCAGCCUGAACCACUGAUUGAGCACCUGGGGAAAGGACCUGGCCAGCCUUGGGAGCCCAGGUGAAGGCAGUUCAGCUGUGUGAAUGGAAGGGUUGGGAUCUGGCUACACCGCUCUUAGACUCUAUUUAAGGGCUGACUGCCACUGGGGAAGGAUCUCUGGUUGGAGAUCUCUCCCUUGUGGAGUGUUUCCUGUGAGCCUAGAUCUUCAGAGAUGGUGCUCCACUUUGGGAUACUGAGCCAUCACUGAGGUCCCACUCACCUGGUGGCACACUGUCCAGAGCAGGGCUCUGUGAAUGCAUCCAUUUGAGUGCAUCAACCCAUGUUUUCUCCUCCAUCCUGCCAAAGGUGUGGAGUGCCUCUUCUCUGAGGUGAAAAGCCACUAUCCUGUAUUGCUCUGGCUGUCCCUGUCUUGAACUGUCUGCUUCAGGGUGAAGUCCCAGUAUGGAGAGGAGCUCUUCCAUGGAUCGGUGGCUUUGUCCAAGACUACAGCUUUGCAAAGAAGAGCUCAUGGACCCAGCAGGGUGGUGUUUCUUGAAACCCCUUUUCAAGGAGAUACCUCCUUUUGGAGUUUUUUCUAUCUUGGCUGUUCAUGCUGAAGAACUGGCAUGGAGUUGAACACAAUCAUUCUGCUAUUUCAAAUGGCCAUUGCUGGAGCAGCAGCUGUGUGCCCCAGUGUCCUUUGGAAGCCAGGCCUGGUGUCCCCAUGCCCCUUGUGAUACUGUUGGACUGUUCUGCAGUAGUCAAAUGUUGGUCCCUUCAGUGAAAGAACCUGGUAAGAGGUCGUGCUGGCUGUGUGUUCUCCUCCAACCAUUCUCUUGAUGAAAUGACUCAACUCUGGAAGCUGAAAUAAUGAUUCAACCAAAAGCUUCAACAGCAGCUGCAGGAUGGCAGAAAACCUUGUGGGUGGACUUUCAGCUCUUCCAGCAACUAUGUAAAACCUUUCAGACAGUCAGCUUGACUGCCACUUUGUAAAUGGCAACAUUGGAUCAGUACAUCAGCAAGGAAUUAUAGGGCUGUGAUCCUUUACAUAAGGCUCUGCGACAUCCUCUGGGGGAUCUGCAUGGGUAGUGGAAAUAUGAGUUGUGCUGGAGGCCUACUGAAAUUGGGAGUCAACUUCUUGCACAAUCAGGCUUUGGAUCAAGGAAAUGGGUUGUUAGCUUAGCAUACUCCAGAGCUGCCUCCAGAGGGUCCCAAAAAUGAGAGCUCUCUAGAAGCUGGAGGAGUCUGAAAGCAUUUACAGGAACAAGCUGUCUUGAAAGAGCUGAGGAGGGAAAGCUUGAAUGCUGCUAGAGUUUGAGCUCCGAUGCCCAGAAGUAUUGCUACCAGGAAGAAAGAAGGCAGCAACUUCACAACUAGCAGCAGGAGUCAGAUCUACUUUCUAACAUGUCCUUCUGGGAGCUCCCCAGGGCCUAGAGAGGGCUCACUUCAUCAGUCUUUGCCAUAAUGGGGACACAAACAGAGAUUUUCUGCUCUAUUUGGUCACUAUUUUUCUUGCUGUUCAUAUGAAUUUGGUGUCUUGGAGGCGCUUCCUUCAAAUUCCAGUUGAAGAUAUGCAAAAGUUCCCAACAGCUCCCAGAGGCAGCUGUGCACAUGGUGUGACUGCACAUGGAAGAAGAUCCUGGUGUGAUGGGAGGAAUGGCUGUGGAGUCCUUCUGUAGCAGGUGCCACGUUCAUAGAUCUGAUCUUCAGGAAGAAUAAUCUCUGAAGGGAAAGCGAUGACUGCCCUGUGAUGCACUGUGCAGCUGUAAGUGGUGUUUCACUUUGAGGAAGUCAGCAACUCAUGUCAAAGGUCUUGUUUGCACUUGAUGCUGCCUCAGAAAGCCUGAGUCACUCUUCACCCUCAUUCACCCUGGUUACAUGUGUUUACUCUGUGGUUGUGUGGUGGUUGGGAAAGUCCUCAAGUACAAGGGAAGACAAAUCUGUCUUCUUCCUAAAAACUUAGUCCUACUGCUUUUAUAAUGAGAAGGCUGGUUGGCAUGUCAGUCCCAACAUAAGAGCUUGAAAAAAACGUAGUUUUGCUGUCUGCUUCUGCUCAGGGAUCUGAGCUCCAAAACAUGAAAUACAAGUUACUUUUAUGUCAGAAUAGAAUAUCAGAGAGUACCCUCUCAGUUCCUGCCCCAGGCCUAAGUCUCCAUCAGUAUGAAAAAAUGAAAUGAACAACUUUCUUUCCUAUUUUUUUACGCUGAAGGAUGUUCGAGUGUUCAGCCAAAGUUUGCUGCUUGCUUCUGUCUGUGUACAUGGAUAUCUAUGGAACUCAGUAUUUUCAUGCGUUACAAGAGUGUGCCCAGGUAUAACAGCAUAUGGGUUGGUGACAUCAGAAUAGUGGGACAGCACAAAAACUGGGCAGCUGCCACCAUUUCCCAAUCACGAAAUUCAGUUUCCUCUGUCAGUUGGUGUAAUGCAGCUGCUUGAGAGUCUCACUUUUGUUAUUUUGCUCCUUUUUCAAAGUUAACAGUAAAAGGACAUUCAUGAAUACCCUCUGGCUUAGGAACUUGAGGAAGCAGAAACUGAGAGCUUUAGUCACUUAUCUUCCACGGGCUGUCCCAAAGGGCUUUGCAUUUCAGCUGUUAUUUAUGGCUACCAGUAAAGGUGCUGGUUGGUAUGUUGGUCUGUUUGUUUGAGGCAAGACAGAGAUAGAUAUGGGGAAAUGGAAAAUACAGCCCUCAAAAAGUGGAGUUAAAGUGAUAGAUACACUUCAGUCUCAUAAAAGAGUUUGACUGCUCCCAGGUGCCUCAUGAGCUGCUCAGUUCAAGAGACAUGAAGCAGAGCUGUCACUGGGGCUGAUAGCUUGACUGUGCCAGGGAGAGUGGGUAUGGCUGGUGGCGUGUGUUCAUGCUGAUGGCAGGAAGCAAGUGGACCCACCAGCCUAGAGCAGAACACAGCAGGCUUGGGCUGUGUGUCCUCAAAACAGAGGAGUAGCUGGGAGGCAUCUUGGGGCAGUGUGAGCAAAGGGCAGUGAUCUGCAUUGGUUUGUGAGACACUCUGGGUGUACUUCAAUCACUAGCCCUGCCUCAGGGCCAUGUUCAGAUCAGAAAGAAAUCUGCAAGUAUUUUCUCUUUUGUUUUUGUUUUGUUUGUUGGAAGCUGGGGCUUUUUGGUGGUGGGUAUGUGUGUCCCACAAGAAGCUAUUUCUAGCCUAGUGUUAUUUGGGUUGGUUUUUUUUUUUUUGUUGUUUGUUUGUUGUUUUUUGGUUUUUUUUUUGAAGGGGAACCAUGCAAAAUGCUUAAUUGUUGCUAAUCAAACCCUCACUUAUCCAACACCUUUAUCCCAAAGCCUAAGGUGUGAUUUCUUGGAAUGUUAUGCACAUUUCACUGGGAAAAGUGACCCUUCCCAGAAAGAAGAGUUACCAAGAAGCCAACCUCAGAAAAAGACCUCAAAAAAAUUCCAGUUUUAUGAAACAUUUCUCAGAAGGCAAGAAACAAUCCCCUGCCUCCCUCCCUGUGAUUAAACAAGGCUGAGCGGAUGGGCAAGAUGCAGCUUGACAGAGAAGGGACUUAUGUGCACUGCUGUUAACCUGGCAGAAGCCAGCAACUCCCACCAAUACCUACAGUGAACCAGGACUGGGAACGUGCCCCAGCAACAAGAAAGUAAGAACUGAGCAAGAAGAAAUAGGUAUAUGCCAGUGUCUUAAUUCCAUCUUCAGGGGAAACUUGGCACAGAAAUCCAAUGAAAAGAAAGGAAAUAGUAUUCUUUUUGGACCUGGGGAAAGUUUAUGGGGAAAGUUUAACUCCAUUCACCAAGGUGUCAAAUAGCAGGUGAGUGAACUUGAAAAAAAGAAUGGCACAGCUCAAAAUAUUAUGGCUGUAGUUUGCCCUACAUGGUCCGCUAGUGCCAAGAUGACUGCUGAGAGGCUGUUCAAGUUACUCUGGUAACAGACUUUUGGGAACACUGACAUAAGGCACAGCAAUAGCACAGGUGAUGUACUCCUCCCUCUUGUGUAAUUCCAUCAGUGACUAUCUUGCCCAUCAUCAGGUUUGAAUAAGGUCCUUCAAACAGCAUUAAAAGUAAAAAGAAUGGUGCUAAUAAUCUUGUGGCUGCUGAUUACAGUAGGCAUCCUGUAGUUCAGCUGCAGGGACAUCAUAAUGAAAGUGUGAGAUGCGUUGUAUACGGACAGACAAGCCUGGUUCUGCUCCACAAUGAUUCCCCAGCCUGAUGGGUUUCCAGCAGUGGGACACAAGUGCCCUGAGGACAUCAUGCCACAGUGAGUGACUUCCAUGAUUGCCACCACUGCUGGCUGUAUCAGCAGGGGAUUGAACACACUAUAAGGAAUGAGCUCUGAAAAGUGCCUCUCUUAAAGGGUCAGGGCACACAGGAAGCAGUGAAAGGGUGCAAGUAUUUGUGGACAGACAGCUGACGGGAGGCUGCAAGGCUGCUAUUGUAGCAUAUUUCACUGUUGUUCAAAAUCUAUGUGUAUAUAUAUAAAAUGGUAAAAAAGCUGAAAGAAAGCAAUAGUAUGAAGGUCUGAAAUGGAAAGCUGCAAGAAACUGAAAAAGCAGUUUUGAAGAUCUAUGUGCCUGGGUAUGGCUGUGGGUGGAAGACAGGGAAUAUGGCAUAGAUCUCUUGCAGACUUCUUCCACAGUGGAGAAGUUUACCAUCUUUUCCUCAACCUUCCUGUAGGACUUCCAGGAAUCCUGCACUCCUUCAUUUUGAGCCUUGAGCUGGCAUUUUUAAAGUACUAUAUGCGGUGGCUACAGGGGUGAACGAUAGAUAGAAUGAUAGAUAGAAGAGAACUGCAUGUCUGUGUAGACAUUUCUGUGAGUUCCUGUCUUAUACUUUGUUGGUGUAGUGCCUCAGCUCUCAGAGUUUGCCAGUGUCCAAGAAGUGCCCUGGUCUGCCUCAGAAGAGACCUGACUGCAGCGAGCAGGGCGUUUUCAAAUUCUUGUUCAUAUUUGAGAGCUCUCUGAAUUAGUGGCUGUUUUAGGUGACUCCUAUGCUAGAAAGAAAAAGGAAGCAUUGGUUUGAAUUGUUGAUUACUAGUGUUUCACAAUGACCUUGCAAUUGCCUGCAAGCAGAGUCAACCAUGUAUCAAACACCAGGAUUAAGCAACAGCAAUGUAAUCCGGCCUUGGGGUUAUUCCAUGUACAUUCCCUGCUUACUAUGUGGUUUUGAAUUUCCCUAAAACAGUAUUUUCAUGAACUUAAGCAGUGAAAACAAAAUCCCCCUUCAAUGCUUUUUUGUUCCUUUUUGUAGAUGUUACUGUCUCACCAAGAAGAUGAAUUUGAUCAUGAAAUGCCAUGCUUCCAUUUCUCAGUUCUUCCUCUCCCUGAGUGAAGACCUCUGUCCCCUUUGUCUAUGUUGUAAUAGAAAGAUCUUGUUGGUAGCUCAGGUAGGUGCUAUACAGUACAGGCUUAUGAACAUGUAUAGGAUCACAGUACCUGUAGAUGGGACAGCUGCUUCUGCUUCACUGAGAACAGUGUUAAUCAGAGCUGUUAAUCAGAGCUGAAAUGGGAACUGGAUCUCCAGUCGUUACUUUUAUUUAUGUAUAUUGCUCAUACUUGCCAAAGUGCAGGCCCUCUCCUGAUCUUGGAAAUUUCCACUGGCUCCACUUACACAGGGUGUCAGGAUUUGACUUCAUGUGUUCAAAGCUACCAUGCUGGUCAAGGUUAUUCUAUACAUUUUUAUUUAGUAAAACUUGUUAACUCUGGACUGUACCCAGUAGAAAGCCAAGUCCCAGCUCUGCUGGCUCUGACAUGGUUAAUAACAUGCUGUGAUGCGUUUGGACUUAGAUCUCACUCCUCUA
Coturnix japonica (Japanese quail) is the source of this 6281-nucleotide non-coding RNA. Lineage: Eukaryota; Metazoa; Chordata; Aves; Galliformes; Phasianidae. The record is from RefSeq and is a predicted model, not a curated record.